GAUGAACGCUGGCGGCGUGCCUAAUACAUGCAAGUCGAGCGAACAGACGAGGAGCUUGCUCCUCUGACGUUAGCGGCGGACGGGUGAGUAACACGUGGAUAACCUACCUAUAAGGCUGGGAUAACUUCGGGAAACCGGAGCUAAUACCGGAUAAUAUAUUGAACCGCAUGGUUCAAUAGUGAAAGACGGUUUUGCUGUCACUUAUAGAUGGAUCCGCGCCGCAUUAGCUAGUUGGUAAGGUAACGGCUUACCAAGGCAACGAUGCGUAGCCGACCCGAGAGGGUGAUCGGCCACACUGGAACUGAGACACGGUCCAGACUCCUACGGGAGGCAGCAGUAGGGAAUCUUCCGCAAUGGGCGAAAGCCUGACGGAGCAACGCCGCGUGAGUGAUGAAGGUCUUCGGAUCGUAAAACUCUGUUAUUAGGGAAGAACAAAUGUGUAAGUAACUAUGCACGUCUUGACGGUACCUAAUCAGAAAGCCACGGCUAACUACGUG
This 497-nucleotide ribosomal RNA is filed under the name uncultured bacterium. RNAcentral's name for it is "partial 16S ribosomal RNA". It matches the Rfam family "Bacterial small subunit ribosomal RNA", at positions 28 to 507 of the family's 1533-position model. The record is from RNAcentral.